UCGUUAAAAAGAAUCGAGUGCUUGAGUAAGCAUAUAUGGAAUUGCUGAAACAUAACGGGACUUACUCUCAAAGCUAUUUGGCCCAUUUCAAUUCCGAUAAGAAUAUCUAUGAUAUUUCAUUAUCGUCAUAGCAAACAUUGCGCAACCCUUUGGACAAACCGUCAACGGAUCAGGAAGGAACACAUGCAGCUCGAGAGGAUGAUAACGCAAAACACAGAAUGACACUCUGCCAGUGCGGGAUACUCAAUUGUUUCGACAAAUAAAGGGGCCCACGAUUCCGGAAUAAGUCUCCCCGUCUAUCGAUCUCUUCUUCUUCCAUGACUGCUCACGAGAUACUGGAUGGCGGUGCUAAUUUGGGAAUAUCGUAUACGAGGGAUCUCGUGGCCAUUGAUGUACAGCCUUUAGAGCUUGUGCAUGAGAAUUUCGUCGGCUGCGAGUAAAGACAAGUGGAUCACGGAAGUUAAAGAAAAAAAGGAAAGAAGACAUUGUUAAAAGCAAAGGACCUACCUACAUGGUGGACCAUCAUCCCCAUCAGUCAUAAAAUAUGAGAAAGUAUCCCAAAGUAGGAAUGACAAGAAAACAGACCGUUAAUGAGAAUAUGAAAAUGGGUCCGUUUGGUUUAUAUGGAUAAAGGAGGACGACAAUAACCUAAAGGAAGUAAGGGGAGCAUCAUGGCUAUCGACUCUGCCGUUCGGUUGGUUAUCGACACGAUCGUUAAUCUUUUGUCACGGCUCCCGGUCUUUGCUUGGCGUUCCAUGAAGUGCGCCACGCCGCCGCCUUUUGAUGCUCCUCAUUCCUUUCAGGCCCGAUUCCCGUAGCCCCGGCCGAUCAACAAGGAGACCCCGUUCUUGGGGUUUUGUUCGCUAAGUAAUUGUCCGACUGUUGUCGCGGUUAGCUGAAGCCCGGGUCGAAGAAGCUCUUGUGGACCUCGAACCGCCUCACCAUCCACCAUUGCUCUUAUUUCACAUCUGCCCAGUGUGAAAUCCAUUAGACACCGGAUCGACGAUCACGAGUCUUUCCAAGCAGAAAAGUUUCGUUGUGUUUUUGAUAAGGAUGAGUAUAUUUUUUUUUUAUUUAUUUACUAUAUUUGUUCGCCGCUGUGGUUCAUUGUCCUUGUACGAAUAUCUAUGUAGCUAAGAUUGGUUCUGGUUCUGUUCUAGGGUCGAGGAGGGGAUCUUGUUCGAUCCGUCGCCCGAGGCACGUUACGGCAGCCAUUUGUAACCGAAUUAAUUAGGCAAAUCGGUACCCGCGAUGCAGUUACAAUUAAUCUGUGCCCAGUUCACGUAUUACCAGGGACAAACCAGGAGCGUAACUAGCGUACACGAUGUUCGGCAAUUCCGCAUUGUGUUAAAUUUAUGGCACCCACUCAGUAUUAUAUAGCUCAUUUAUUUUUCAGUCUCACGAGCACUCUAGACGAUUACUCAGGAACGGCAGCCAUUAAACAAGAGCUCAAUAGCUCGUUCACGUGUCCAAGUUGAACUGGCCUCGCGAUCUUUUAUCAUUUUCUUCAAAAUUACCAUGUCCAUCAAUAACCCAAAGUGACCAUAAAAUUGAGUGACCGUAUCUCAACAAAAAAUUCACUAUACACAAGAUGAUCCAGAUACCGGAAACCAUAAUGCAACCCUGUUUAAAUGUUGGUCUGGGGCUCACCGGCUGGUUGCGGUGUGAUUUGUGGCGAGCGCUUAGGUCGAAAUUACGUGGAGCCGCGCGCGGUUCUCUCUGCCAGGGUGAUUAGACGUUAUUGAUGUAUCGGACGUUAGAAUCAAGCUGGUCCAGGUGAAUCAGACGUCGGAACGCCGCAUGGAUGAUCUGGUUGAACGACUGAAUUUAUGUGCGACACUUAUCUGAGGGUAGCUAACGGUAUCUUUG
Long non-coding RNA from Cephus cinctus (wheat stem sawfly), 1869 nucleotides. RefSeq lists it as uncharacterized. The record is from RefSeq and is a predicted model, not a curated record. The transcript has 5 exons. Lineage: Eukaryota; Metazoa; Arthropoda; Insecta; Hymenoptera; Cephidae.